RNAcentral lists this ribosomal RNA (696 nucleotides) under uncultured Bacteroidales bacterium. Its description in RNAcentral is "bacterial SSU rRNA". It matches the Rfam family "Bacterial small subunit ribosomal RNA", at positions 32 to 715 of the family's 1533-position model. Lineage: Bacteria; Pseudomonadati; Bacteroidota; Bacteroidia; Bacteroidales. The record is from RNAcentral.
AACGCUAGCUACAGGCUUAACACAUGCAAGUCGUGGGGCAGCAUGGGAGAUGCUUGCAUUUCCUGAUGGCGACCGGCGCACGGGUGAGUAACGCGUAUCCAACCUGCCCCUUACUCCGGCACAGCCCGUCGAAAGGCGGAUUAAUGCGGGAUGCAGUCAGAGAGAUGCAUAUAUGUCUGACGAAAGGAUUCGUCCGGUAAGGGAUGGGGAUGCGUCCGAUUAGCUUGACGGCGGGGUAACGGCCCACCGUGGCGACGAUCGGUAGGGGUUCUGAGAGGAAGGUCCCCCACAUUGGAACUGAGACACGGUCCAAACUCCUACGGGAGGCAGCAGUGAGGAAUAUUGGUCAAUGGACGAGAGUCUGAACCAGCCAAGUAGCGUGAAGGAUGAAGGUCCUACGGAUUGUAAACUUCUUUUAUAAGGGAAUAAAACCUUCCACGUGUGGGAGCUUGUAUGUACCUUAUGAAUAAGCAUCGGCUAACUCCGUGCCAGCAGCCGCGGUAAUACGGAGGAUGCGAGCGUUAUCCGGAUUUAUUGGGUUUAAAGGGAGCGCAGACGGGUCGUUAAGUCAGCUGUGAAAGUUUGGGGCUCAACCUUAAAAUUGCAGUUGAUACUGGCGUCCUUGAGUGCGGUUGAGGUGUGCGGAAUUCGUGGUGUAGCGGUGAAAUGCUUAGAUAUCACGAAGAACUCCGAUUG